UUGGUUAAAGUGCAUGAUCGCGUGUCAGGCGACUUAAGUGCAUUUUAGUCAGGUUAAUUUGGGCGGUUCCGCCACAGUGGAGUGAAAAUUCCAAACUAUAAGAGUGACUUCAUUAGAUCUCUUCCCAAAAUUCCUAGAUUAAUUUGAAUUAAAUUGAAACCUAGGAUUGAAUAAUUGUUAGUGUGCCAUUCGGAUUUUAUUUGGUCUUUAUUUGGAAUUUAAAUGAGUGAAUU
This 233-nucleotide long non-coding RNA is filed under the name Setaria italica (foxtail millet). Its description in RNAcentral is "long non-coding RNA (SITA_LNC005756)". The record is from RNAcentral. Lineage: Eukaryota; Viridiplantae; Streptophyta; Magnoliopsida; Poales; Poaceae.